AAACCCCCUCGCCGAAAGACUAAGGUUUCCUGAUCAACGCUAAUCGGAUCAGGGUAAGUCGGGUCCUAAGGCUCAGCCGAAGGGCGAUGCCGAUGGCAGAAACGGUUAAUAUUCCGUUACUACCUCCAGGAGUGAUGUGGAGACGCAGUAGUGACAAUGCCGCCAUCUGACGGAAUAGAUGGUUGAAGGGUGUAGAUGUUGAUCUUGGCAGGCAAAUCCACCAUGAGAAUCGAACCUGAUAGUAUGCCGCGUCCCUCGGGACAAGGCAAUAGUGCAUGUAAUCAUGCUGCCAAGAAAAUCCGCUAAACAAAAUCCUGUAGGUACCCGUACCGUAAACGGACACACGUAGUCGGGAUGAAUAUUCUAAGGCGCUUGAGUGAUUCACGGUUAAGGAACUAGGCAAACUGACCCUGUAACUUCGGGAUAAAGGGUCCCUACCCGGUGACGGGAGGGCGCAGAGAAUAGGUCCAGGCAACUGUUUAACAAAAACACAGGGCUGUGCUAAAUCGAAAGAUCCUGUAUACAGCCUGACACCUGCCCGGUGCUGGAAGGUUAAGAGGAGACGUCAUCGUUGAGAGAAGCGUUGAAUUGAAGCCCCAGUAAACGGCGGCCGUAACUAUAACGGUCCUAAGGUAGCGAAAUUCCUUGUCGGGUAAGUUCCGACCUGCACGAAUGGUGUAAUGAUCUGGACGCUGUCUCAACCGUGAGCUCAGUGAAAUUGUAGUAUCGGUGAAGAUGCCGAUUACCCGCGAUGGGACGAAAAGACCCCGUGAACCUUUACUAUAGCUUAUCAUUGAAUCUGGGCACGUGAUGUGUAGGAUAGGUCGGAGGCUUUGAAGGGGGUACGCCAGUAUCCUUGGAGCCGCUGUUGAAAUACGACCCUUCAUUUGUUUGGAUUCUAACCCGUGUAUAUGGGGACACUGAUUGGUGGGUAGUUUGACUGGGGUGGUCGCCUCCAAAAGCGUAACGGAGGCUUCUAAAGGUGCCCUCACGGCGAUUGGUAACCGCCGUUAGAGUGUAAUGGCAUAAGGGCGCUUGACUGGGAGACUGACAAGUCGAUCAGGUAGGAAACUAGAGCAUAGUGAUCCGGUGUUUCCGUAUGGAAGGGACAUCGCUCAAAGGAUAAAAGGUACUCCGGGGAUAACAGGCUGAUC
This 1154-nucleotide ribosomal RNA is filed under the name human gut metagenome. RNAcentral describes it as "bacterial LSU rRNA". It matches the Rfam family "Bacterial large subunit ribosomal RNA", at positions 1326 to 2487 of the family's 2925-position model. The record is from RNAcentral.